This is a non-coding RNA of Vicia faba (fava bean), 306 nucleotides long. NCBI's taxonomy places the organism in Eukaryota, Viridiplantae, Streptophyta, Magnoliopsida, Fabales, Fabaceae. The record is from the annotation of a GenBank genome assembly.
AUGACCGUAAAAUGGUUCAGAGUUUUCUUAGCUAAAAUGGUUCAGAGUUUCAUUAAAGAGAGUAACGAUAAGAAAACACCAAUGUCUGAAUUUACUCGCAACAAUUGCAAUUGCUUUAACGGAAACAGUAACGAUAGCUCCGAUGAAGAACUUGGUUUCUUCGGUGAAUCUAUCACUUCUAGUUUUAUCAAUGAUGCCAGUGACACGCUCAAGAGUUUAAUUCCACGUGCGAGUGUUAUGGAGAGAAAUCUGUUAGCUGAUACAUCAAAAAUAGUUGACAAGAACAACAAAGUUUUCAAGCGAUAA